UGGCGUUGUAGGUAGAUAGAUAGAUAGAUAUAUAUAUAUAUAUAUAUAUAUUUAUAAUCUUUUUUUUAUUUUAUUUUUUAUUUAUUUUUUAAUUGGGGUAGCCCCCAAAAUAUUGGGACAUAUACAAAAAAACAACAACUCUGUUCUGCAGAGUAGCUGUUGACAUUAUAGUUGCACAGGCACUUUAUUGACUCUAGAGAACCUCAGGCCAAUCGCAUAUCCCUGUGGUGGCGACUCUGCAUGCGGAUCUCAUCCAUAUCAACUUUUGAUGCCAGUUUCUGCACAUACCAUGGUGACCACGGGUAACAGGGAAUCAGGGUUCCAUUUUGUACAGGGACUCUGAGAAACGGCUACCACAUGCAAGGAAGGCAGCAGGCGCACAAAUUACCCACUCUCGACGCAGGGAGGUAGUGACGAUAAAUAACAAUACAGGACCCUUUACAGGCCCUGUAAUUGGAAUGAGUCCACUUUAAAUCCUAGGAUCUAUUGGAGGGCAAGUCUGGUGCAGAGCGACUGACCCGUGUGUGCUGCAGCUGAAACUCAACUAUCGCCUGCUGCUGCUCGCACAGUCUCUCCAGCA
This is a non-coding RNA of Pelobates cultripes (western spadefoot toad), 580 nucleotides long. NCBI's taxonomy places the organism in Eukaryota, Metazoa, Chordata, Amphibia, Anura, Pelobatidae. The record is from the annotation of a GenBank genome assembly.